UACGUAGGUGGCAGGCGUUGUCCGGAUUUACUGGGCGUAAAGAGCUCGUAGGCGGCCUGUUGCGUCCGCUGUGAAAGCCCGGGGCUUAACCCCGGGUCGGCAGUGGAUACGGGCAGGCUAGAGGUAGGUAGGGGAGAAUGGAAUUCCCGGUGUAGCGGUGAAAUGCGCAGAUAUCGGGAGGAACACCGGUGGCGAAGGCGGUUCUCUGGGCCUUACCUGACGCUGAGGAGCGAAAGCGUGGGGAGCGAACAGG
RNAcentral lists this ribosomal RNA (253 nucleotides) under uncultured bacterium. RNAcentral's name for it is "partial 16S ribosomal RNA". It matches the Rfam family "Bacterial small subunit ribosomal RNA", at positions 524 to 776 of the family's 1533-position model. The record is from RNAcentral.